Oncorhynchus tshawytscha (Chinook salmon) is the source of this 3074-nucleotide long non-coding RNA. Lineage: Eukaryota; Metazoa; Chordata; Actinopteri; Salmoniformes; Salmonidae. The record is from Ensembl.
CAGGUUUUUUUUUUGUGUUCAGUUUUGUUUCAAAAUAAAAAAUAAUCACACAUCAUUGUUUAGAGAGACAAUCUACAACAGGAGAUACAAAAAAAAUAGUUGCCCAGGCAACAAGCACACACACAGGUUUCUGUUAGAACUAUACACAUUAUGGUUACAGAAGAUGCUCCUAUUCAGAUACACAAGGCUCGCCACUUCAAAAUGUACACAUGCCGCUGCCCACCGCAGUAGUCCUGGUUACGGACGGCGAGACAGGCGACGCCCGGCCUUUACCGGGGGACAUUAUGAUACAUCACUUUUACAGGACUAUUAUUAAAGGUACAAACAAAAAAAGCAGACCACGCUGCUGCCGUCUUUUGUACAACCCACGGUUUCACUGUACCCUGAGGAGAGCAGAGGGGUUCGAGGUAGACUCAGCCAUAUGACAUGGUAACACAGCGGGAGCUACUUCCUGCUUCCAGACAUCAGUAACAACACAAGUCAUAUAUUAUAUCCCGAGACCACCACUGACCGCUCUUCCCAAUGUGGGCGUCACGCCUCAAGAGAAGAACCAAUAGUGGUAGUCUUGGCAGAUCGUUGUUGAUGUCUACAAGCCGGGAAGUCGCCCCGGUGUGUUACCAUGUCAUAUCACUGAGUCAACCUUUAAACUCAUCGCCCCCCACCCCAUCCAUUACCCUUAGACAAGGGGAAAGCAUUCCUAUAAAAUAUCUAAAAAUACAAAAACACAAGCAGACUGCUAACAGUGUGUCCUGUGGUGGCGGUUACAACCCCCAAACUACACUGUAAACAUCUCGCGUGUGUUCUGUAGCGUGUGUUCUGUAGCGUGUGUUCUGUAGCGUGUGUUCUGUAGCGUGUGUUCUGUAGCGUGUGUUCUGUAAGGUGUGUUCUGUAGCGUGUGUUCUGUAGCGUGUGUUCUGUAGCGUGUGUUCUGUAGCGUGUGUUCUGUAGCGUGUGUUCUGUAGCGUGUGUUCUGUAGCGUGUGUUCUGUAGCGUGUGUUCUGUAGCGUGUGUUCUGUAGCGUGUGUUCUGUAGCGUGUGUUCUGUAGCGUGUGUUCUGUCUCGUGUGUUCUGUAGCGUGUGUUCUGUAGCGUGUGUUCUGUAAGGUGUGUUCUGUAGCGUGUGUUCUGUAGCGUGUGUUCUGUAAGGUGUGUUCUGUAGCGUGUGUUCUGUAGCGUGUGUUCUGUAAGGUGUGUUCUGUAGCGUGUGUUCUGUAAGGUGUGUUCUGUAGCGUGUGUUCUGUAACGUGUGUUCUGUAGCGUGUGUUCUGUAGCGUGUGUUCUGUAGCGUGUGUUCUGUAAGGUGUGUUCUGUAGCGUGUGUUCUGUAGCGUGUGUUCUGUAAGGUGUGUUCUGUAGCGUGUGUUCUGUAGCGUGUGUUCUGUAGCGUGUGUUCUGUAGCGUGUGUUCUGUAAGCGUGUGUUCUGUAGCGUGUGUUCUGUAGCGUGUGUUCUGUAGCGUGUGUUCUGUAGCGUGUGUUCUGUGUUCUGUAGCGUGUGUUCUGUAGCGUGUGUUCUGUAAGGUGUGUUCUGUAGCGUGUGUUCUGUAGCGUGUGUUCUGUAGCGUGUGUUCUGUAGCGUGUGUUCUGUAGCGUGUGUUCUGUAGCGUGUGUUCUGUAGCGUGUGUUCUGUAGCGUGUGUUCUGUAGCGUGUGUUCUGUAGCGUGUGUUCUGUAGCGUGUGUUCUGUAAGGUGUGUUCUGUAAGGUGUGUUCUGUAGCGUGUGUUCUGUAAGGUGUGUUCUGUAAGGUGUGUUCUGUAGCGUGUGUUCUGUAAGGUGUGUUCUGUAGCGUGUGUUCUGUAGCGUGUGUUCUGUAAGGUGUGUUCUGUAAGGUGUGUUCUGUAUAUUUGUGUUCUGUAGCGUGUGUUCUGUAAGGUGUGUUCUGUAGCGUGUGUUCUGUAGCGUGUGUUCUGUAGCGUGUGUUCUGUAGCGUGUGUUCUGUAGCGUGUGUGCUGUAAUGUUUUGACUGCUACAGAACAGGCGGAAACCCAGAGUCACUGUCAGCUGUUGACGCUUCAGUCAGAUGCCAUGUCUCACUCUCUGUAAUUUAUAUAGACUUGUGUAAAAAAUAAAAGAGUCUCUUCACUACUGACAUGUUGGUGUACCACGUCUCGUUGACUUCAGUGGUAACUGUGGCGUAAUGGACGUUUAGUAAACGGACAGGGAGCGUUUGCAGUGUAGUUCGGUGGAUGGGGUUGAGGUGGUGAGUUCUGUUGUUGAGGUGGUGAGUUCUGUUGUUGAGGUGGUGAGUUCUGUUGUUGAGGUGGUGAGUUCUGUUGUUGAGGUGGUGAGUUCUGUUGUUAAGGUGGUGAGUUCUGUUGAGGUGGGGGGUGCUUUGUACAAGUACUACGCAGUAUAGAAAGGAAUUUUCAAAACCAAAAUUUGAUAUUACAAUUUACAAUAUACAACAACUCAUAUGUCACAAACAAGGAGGUGGGAAUAUGCAUCGAAAUGCACAGAGUUAAGAGUUUUUUUUAAACGUUUUGUUUUUUUAUAUAUAGAUAUACAUAUAUAUAUACAUAUAUAUAUAUAUCGUCUGAUACCAAAAAGGGUGGUAAAUCACGUUUACAUUACAAGGGUUUACAAAUGUACAAUUACACAGUCAGAAAUGUGUUCACUACUAGGAGACAUUAUAGAUAGUCAACAUCAAAAAACAGAAAAACUAAAGUUUUUUAUAUUUAUAUAUAUGCAAAGUUCUACACCAAGUAUACACGCGCUCUAUAUAUAUAUAUAGAUAGAAGCAGGACUGGAAACGAACCUCCCAUGUUAAAUGACUUGCUGGUAAGCACAUGGCUUGUGUGUUUGUAUAUGGGACGAUGAUUUGGUGACGUACUCAGUCAAAUUAAAUUACGUUCCAUCCCAUACUAGCGGUACGACACAGAACUGUGAUUGCCACAGCAGUAGCAAAACAGUGAAAUGAUUCUAGUUUAUACAAAAGACGAAUGAAGAAAAACAAAAACAGUGAGAAGGAACGAAGGGCAGGGACGUAUCUCACCUCCUCCCUGCAGCAGGGUAGGGACGUAUCUCACCUCCUCCCUGCAGCAGGGUAGGGACGUAUCUCACCUCCUCCCUGCAGCAGGG